This 6233-nucleotide unclassified non-coding RNA is filed under the name Penaeus japonicus. Its description in RNAcentral is "uncharacterized LOC122255971, transcript variant X1". Lineage: Eukaryota; Metazoa; Arthropoda; Malacostraca; Decapoda; Penaeidae. The record is from RNAcentral.
CUGCAGUGAUGGCGACGGGCCCACGGCGGCGGUGACAGCUGUGAUCGCGGGCGGCGAGGAGCGACGGGCGAGAUGGGCGGCCUGCGGGUGAGCGGGCGGAGGGCGUCGUGGGCGGCCUCGACGCGAGCGAUGCUACUGCUGGCCGUGGUACUGCUGCGGGCGGCCUCCGCGGCGGCAGAGUGGGACAGCCACUGCCCGGCCGGGUGCAAGUGCACUUAUGUCAGCAACAGGAAGGUGGCCGACUGCCGCAACGCCGGCUUCUCGACGGUGCCGACGUCUCUAAGUUCCGAGAUUCAGGAGCUCAACCUCAACACCAACAACAUCAUGUACCUGGAGAAGGACGCGUUCAAGAAAUCCGGCCUGGUCAACCUGCAGAAGCUCUACCUGAAGGAGAACAACAUCCGCACCGUGCACAAGGACGCCUUCAGGGACCUCAGGAUCAUGAUCGAGCUCGACCUCAGCGCCAACGCCAUCGAUAAGCUCCACCCGCACACGUUCACCGGCCUAGAGAAGCUGCGUGUGCUGGACCUGAGCGAGAACGCGCUGGUGCGGCUGGACGGGGUGCAGUUCCCCCCCCUCCCCCACCUGCGCAAGCUCGACUUCCGCAACAAUGACCUCGUCUACAUUCACAACUACGCCUUCUCCAACCUGGCGAUGCUCAUGUCGCUCAGGCUCUCUGGGAACAGCCUGAAGCUGGUACAGCCGGAGCUCUUCAUCAACAACACGAACCUAGUGGAGCUGGAGCUGCACGACAACCCGUGGGAGUGCGACUGCCGCCUCAAGAGCCUCGUGCGCUGGACCAAGAAGAAGUCGCUCCUGCAGGAGCACGUGACAUGCCACUCGCCGGAGCGCGUGUCGGGACGCCGCUGGGAGGCGGUGUCGGAGGAUGAGCUGGCGUGCCGGCCAGAGCUCAUCGUGACGCAAGCGGAGGUGCCAGCUGCGCCGGGCCAGAACGCGUCGCUGACGUGUCGCGCGAGCGGGGAGCCCCUGCCGCAGCUCAAGUGGGUGCUGCACGGGCGCGUGCUGACCAACAUGUCGGUGAUCCCGUUCUCGCAGCCGGAGCAGCGCUACGUGGUGCGCGAGGUGGUGGAGGCGGCCACGCGCUGGUCGCAGCUCACCGUCACGCACGUGCAGGACCACGACCUCACGUACUACACGUGCGUGGCCGACAACCUGGCGGGCCUCGUGGAGCACAACGUGUCGCUGGUGGCCGCCGCGCCCUCGCACACGGGCGCCGUGGCACCCAAGGCCACGCUCGACCUCUACGCCAUCAUCGGCAUCGCCACCGGCGGCCUGGUGCUGCUGCUGGCGCUGAUCGUGGCGCUGUGCUGCUGCGUGCGCCGCCGCCGCAGCCGCGAGAUGAAGGCGCGGCCCAAGGUCAACGGCUCCGCGGGCGGCCACGUGGAGCACAAGAACGUCAUGAUCGUCAACCCGGUGGAGAAGCCGCCGCGCCAGUACGAGCAGGUGCCGCAGACGGACAUCGAGAUGGCGGCGCUGGCGGCGGACGCGGGCGCGCACCGCAGCUACGACGAGGUGGACUACCCCGAGGCGGGCCCCGCGGCGCACCGCACGCCCCUGGCCACGCUGGAGGAGGAGGACGACGACCUGCCGUCGCAGGACACGACGCUGCCCCUGGACGCGUCCUGCGCCGCGCCGCCGCACAGCGUGGUCGACUACCUGGGCCACUACCCCGACCUGCUCGACAUGACGCGGCCGCGCGCCGUCUCGCCCACGCAGCUCUCCUACCACUCGCUGGUGGCGCCGCAGUUCGCCGCCGUGCCGCCGCCCGCCGCAGAGUACCGCUACAGCUACGUGCACCCCGCCGAGUACACGCCCUACCCCGUGGCCUAUGUGGCGCCCCAGCCGCAGCCGCAGCCGCGCCCCGGGUACGUGACGCUGCCGCGGCGCCACCGCUCGCCGUCGUGGGCGGGCCAAUCGUCGCUCGAGGCGGACGCCAGCUCGCCCCCUCCGCCGCAGGAGGGCGAGCGCCGCUACGACCCGAUCUACGACACGCUGGGACCGCGCACCACCGCCGACGGCACCUCGCGCACCGACCUGACACGGCCCGCGCUGCGCGCCGCCGAGCCCUUCACGCCGCGCACGCCGCAGUCGCCCGCCUCGCCGCCCGGCCUGCCCGUGUACUACGCCCCCGCGACGGGCGGCCCCGCGCGCCCGCUGCACCACCAGCGCAACCACAGCUCGACGCUGCCACGCUCCACGCCCAACCUGCUGGAAGGCGGCGCCGGCCUGACCCUGCCGCCGCACCAGCAGGCGCUGGCCGAGGGCGUGCCGGCGCAGUUGGUGACCCGCGGCGCCCUCCUGCCCGCCCACUCGCCCACGCCGUCCACCGCCAGCACCGCGCGCACCGCCUCGCCCGCCUACCGCGCCGCCUCGCCCGCGAUCGCGUCGCCGCUGCACCUCCCGCCCGCCUCCUCCUCCCCCGCCUCCGCCGCCGCCGCCGCCGCCGCGCCCUCCCGCUCCCCCCUCGCCUCCAGCAGCGAGUCCACGCUCGACUCCUCGGCGCUCUACAACAACAACAACAACAGCCACAGCAUCAACAACAACACCCCUGGCAAGGCGGCCAAGGAGCUGGACGUGAGCGUGGCGUCGACGGGCUCGACGGCGUCGAAGAAGGUGCCGCCCAAGCCGCCGCCCAAGCCCAGCGCCAAGCGGCUGUCCGUGGCCUCCACCGCCAGCGACUCACGCAAGGCGACGCUGGCGGGCGACGGCCGCACCUUCCAGGACGAGGGGCCCGACGGCACGGAGGUGUGAGGAAGGGAGGGGGGAGGGGAGGGAGCGCCCCCGCCGGGAAGGGGGGACUCACCGCGCGGCGAAGCCCUUGUCGCGCCACCCCGCGCGCCCCGCGUCCACGGCGGCGUGCGCGUCACCAGCGAUGACGACAGCGAGGCAGUGUCCAGCAGCCCCGACGAUGGCCUGGAGUGGGUGUAGCGGCGCCGUCGCCAGGCCCCGACCGCUACCCCACGCCUCCCACCCGCCCGCCCGCCCCGCCCGGCCCCGUCCCGUCCCGCGCCGCGCCGCCACCGCGACCUGAGCAGACGCGGCGCCAGGCCAGCAUCGCCGGUGCCAAGUGCCGAGCGUGCGGAGACGCGACGCCAGGUGAGGACGGCGCCAGAACGCGCGUGGCCGACGGACGGCGAGGUCCCUCUCCCCCUGCUCCCUCUCCCUCCCCCUCCCCCUGUCCCCUCGCAGACCCUCCCCCCUUCUUCCCCCACGCCCACUCCCACUCCCUCUCCCCCGCCCGCGGAGACCGAGAGUGAAGAUCAAGAAGCCUUCCAGUGUGUGACGAACACUUUCUAUCUUUGUUAAGGUAAAAUACACAAGGUAAAAAAAUAUGUACAUAAACAUGUAAGAGUGAAGCACCAACGAUGGUUCCACAGAGGAAACAGCAAAAUAAAAAGUGUUGAACAUUGCGCCUCUCCUCUUUCUAGAGAGACAGAGAAAGAGAGAGAGAGAGAAUGAACUGCAGCGCAUGACCUGUGCAUGACAUCGCUCGGACAUGGAUGGGUCGAAGUGCCAGUGUGGAAUACCAGGGUCGAGAGGCACAGGUAGCAGCAUCAUGCAAGCAGACCAGCCAGUCAGCCUGCCUGCCUGCUUGCCUGUCUGUUCGCCUGUCUGCCUGCUUGCUUGCCUGCCUGCCUGUAUGCCUGUCUAUCUGUCUGUCUGUAGGUACUCUCCCCUGCAGUUGCUUUUCUGUGAAUAUCCUUUACAUAGAGAAUUUAAACGAAGCCACAUCUUCAGUUUCUCCAAGAAGGUUGGACUGUGAAGUUGUGUAAGGAUGUUUAGAAUAUAUUAAAAAAUACAAGAGAAAUGGUAGGAUUAGAUUUGAAGAAUUUAAGAAAAAAAAAUAAUAAAAAAAAUAAGAGAAAUGAAGUUUGAUUACUAUGCUGAAUAUAUAUAUUGUAUUUUCAUAUCGCAAAUUAGCACCAAAUUUUGUAUGUUCAUAUUUAUUGACGGAAUAAUUAAGGGAAAACUGCUUGUGUGGAAACCUCCCCACCCCCCUUCCUCCGUUAGCCGCUCUUAGAGAAAGGGUGUAUGUAUGCACGCCACGCCGGACAGAGUAUUGUAGAGCUCAUUUUAACACGUCAUCAUCAUCACCAUCACCAUCAUCGUCGUCGCCGAGGUCGUCGCCGUGGUGACCCGAUAGAGCUAGAGGAUAGACGCCGCCACGGUCGCCCAGCGCUGCAGAAUGAGGAAUACAGAUUUCUAUUCUAUUAUUAGUUUAUAUAUGUGUGUUUGUGUGUAUAUAUAUAUAUAUAAUCCUCCGUGUGUCCCCGGGCGAGGAACUUUUAUAAUGUCAAGAGUGGUGACAAUGCAGCACAGAGGGAAAAGACGAUGGUGGUGGUGGUGGCAGGUGAUGAUGAUGAUGGUGAUGGUGAUGCAUCGAGAAAGCCGAAGAUUCCCAUGCAGUUUCGGCUGAGGUAUGGCGGCGACGCAAGGAGACGUAGGUCGACGAUGUGGACGCCCAGGAAAGAGGUGUCCGAGUCGAGACGUCGAGGCCCCAACGACGCAGAGGGGGAUACGUCUACGUCACCGGCGACGCAAAGGAAAGAGGUGUCCGAGUUACCGACAACGCCAAGAAAAAAAAAAGUAAGCUGAUGUCUGGGCUGCUGACGACGUAAAGGGAGACGUCUGGUUUAUCGACGCAGAAGGAGACGACGUCUGGGAGACAAGUGGUCGACAAAGCAGGGUUCCUAACAUACGUUUUAUGCUUAAGAAGAACACUUCCCUGUGUGUGUGUGUGUAUGUACGUGUGUGUGCGCGUGUGUGUGUGACAUAUAGGAUUCAUUAUAAUGUUUUUUUGUUUUUUUUUCUCCUCUUAAUCUUUUGAGAUACAUUAUGAUAAAAGUGAAUUCUAAUUAUACGAAAGCUUUUGAUAUCAAGUCACACCAUAGUCGUUAAGUUCUUUGUCUAUUUUUUUCUGUUCUUUUUUUAAGUAGCAAGGAAGGCCAAAAAAGAAAAAAAAAGAAAACAGAAGUACAAAAAAUCGACGGAGUUAGACAGGGCAUAGUUUUUUUGUGUUUGUAUAUAAAACCCCAUUAUAUAUUAAUGUCCCCAAUGUGAAUUUUUUUAUUUUACCUUUCUUUAUCAUUUUGGAAUUAUUAGUGUCAAUGUCUUUUUUUGUGUCGAGGAAUCUGUUGAUAUAUUUUGUACCUCCUUUUCGUUACAAAUUUCGGUAGAAGUCGCAAUUAAAUUUGUUUCUCUGAAUAAAGUAAUAUAGAAAAAGAUACAGGUAUUUGAUUAGCAUUUCUUGAUCUGACAGAAUUUAAUGUUUAUUUAUUUAUUUUUAUUUUUUAUUUUUUUUUGUAAAUAUAUUAUUAUUGAUUCCUUGGAUAGAUCAGGGUUGAACUAUGAAUUUGAACUUUUAAUUUUUGUUAUCAUUAUUAUUAUUAUUACCAUCAUCAUCAUUAUCAUCAUUAUUACUAUUAGUACUAUUAUAAUUAUCAUAAUCAUCAUAAUUCCUAUCUUUAAUUUUUGCUCUGACAAGAAACAAUUAAUUUUGCGAGUUCUAAUAAAGAAGUUUCAUCUCACAAAAACACCCUUCAGUUGUCGAGGAAGAGUGCCAACCUUUGUAAGAAUCAGAGAGGGGGAGGGGGAGGGGGGGGGAGGGGGGGGGGAUGAUAAUCCACAUGUAUUAAAGACACUUCAGUAAGAUAAAUGUAUCGUGAACUGUGACGGAGAAAGAGGGAAGGAGAAGGCGAAGAUGAUGAUGAUGCGUGAUUACCUCCCCCCCCCUUCACUCCAUCACCUUUUCUAUCAUGUUAUUCUCCUCUUUUCUCCCUUCCUCCUCACUUCCUCCUCUUCUUCUCUUCCUCCUCUUCGUCCCUUCUCGUCUCUCUCUCUCUCGCCUCUCAGGUUCAUGUGAAGGAAAUCCGACAAAGGGUACAUUAUAUAUAUAUUUUUUCCCUCCUUUUGUGGAUGAGUGUUUUUCUUUCCCUCAUGCAGGUGUCGUGACUUCCCUCCUCCUCCUUCCUCCCUCUUCUUCCUAAUCACCAUUUUCCUUUUCUUCAUCUUCUUCCUCCUAUUCCUCUUUCUCACCCUCCUCAUUCUUCUUUUUCUCAUCCUCCUCAUUCUUCUUUUUCUCCCUCUCCUUCCUGUAAUGAUAAAGCAGUCCAGACGAAGGAAAAGUAUAGAGGAAGAGGCAAAUGAAGAUAAGAGAGAAGGAGAAAGAAAAGGAAGAGAAGGGGAACGAGAAAGAGAAAGAGGAGGAGGAG